CACGAACCUGCCCCGCACGCUCGGCUGAAGGAGCGGCGCGGAGUCCGAGACCCAGGGUGUGGCUGUGCUAACCGGCCCGCACCUCCCAGGUGGCACACUAUACUGUCAUUGGUGGAACAAUUUGCAUCCCAAAAUGUCCAGUAAGAGACAGAUUGAUGCAGAAGGAAUGCGAUUUAAUGACAGAUGAGAAAGCAAAUGCUAUUGGUUCCUGUAAAUGACCGAGCUCAGGGAUGUGAAAGCUGCAAACCUGUCCUAUCAAAAAGAUUGUUGAUUGAGAAGAAGCUGAUACCAUAAUUAUGAAGGUUGUGGAUAACCAUGUCUUU
Long non-coding RNA from Columba livia (rock pigeon), 323 nucleotides. RefSeq lists it as uncharacterized. The transcript has 3 exons. Lineage: Eukaryota; Metazoa; Chordata; Aves; Columbiformes; Columbidae. The record is from RefSeq and is a predicted model, not a curated record.